UGAUCUAGCCAUGCCGCGUGAGUGAUGAAGGCCCUAGGGUCGUAAAGCUCUUUCGCCAGGGAUGAUAAUGACAGUACCUGGUAAAGAAACCCCGGCUAACUCCGUGCCAGCAGCCGCGGUAAUACGGAGGGGGUUAGCGUUGUUCGGAAUUACUGGGCGUAAAGCGCACGUAGGCGGACUAUUAAGUCAGGGGUGUUAUCCCGGGGCUCAACCCCGGAACUGCCCUUGAUACUGGUAGUCUUGAGUUCGAGAGAGGUGAGUGGAAUUCCGAGUGUAGAGGUGAAAUUCGUAGAUAUUCGGAGGAACACCAGUGGCGAAGGCGGCUCACUGGCUCGAUACUGACGCUGAGGUGCGAAAGUGUGGGGAGCAAACAGGAUUAGAUACCCCUGGUAGAUAC
RNAcentral lists this ribosomal RNA (397 nucleotides) under uncultured Oceanicola sp. Its description in RNAcentral is "bacterial SSU rRNA". It matches the Rfam family "Bacterial small subunit ribosomal RNA", at positions 384 to 796 of the family's 1533-position model. Lineage: Bacteria; Pseudomonadati; Pseudomonadota; Alphaproteobacteria; Rhodobacterales; Roseobacteraceae. The record is from RNAcentral.